This 253-nucleotide ribosomal RNA is filed under the name uncultured bacterium. RNAcentral describes it as "partial 16S ribosomal RNA". It matches the Rfam family "Bacterial small subunit ribosomal RNA", at positions 524 to 776 of the family's 1533-position model. The record is from RNAcentral.
UACGUAGGUGGCAAGCGUUGUCCGGAAUUAUUGGGCGUAAAGCGCGCGCAGGCGGUCUUUUAAGUCUGAUGUGAAAGCCCACGGCUCAACCGUGGAGGGUCAUUGGAAACUGGAGGACUUGAGUGCAGAAGAGGAGAGUGGAAUUCCACGUGUAGCGGUGAAAUGCGUAGAUAUGUGGAGGAACACCAGUGGCGAAGGCGGCUCUCUGGUCUGUAACUGACGCUGAGGCGCGAAAGCGUGGGGAGCAAACAGG